UCGGGCGGUAACAGGUGUAGCAAUACAUGCUGACGAGCGGCGAACGGGUGAGUAACGCUUCGGAAUCUACCCAUGGGUGGGGAAUAACCAGCCGAAAGGUUGGCUAAUACCGCAUACGUCCUACGGGGGAAAGCAGGGGAUCGCAAGACCUUGCGCCGAUGGAUGAGCCGAAGCCGGAUUAGCUAGUUGGUAGGGUAACGGCCUACCAAGGCGACGAUCCGUAGCUGGUCUGAGAGGACGACCAGCCACACUGGGACUGAGACACGGCCCAGACUCCUACGGGAGGCAGCAGUGGGGAAUAUUGGACAAUGGGGGAAACCCUGAUCCAGCGACGCCGCGUGUGUGAAGAAGGCCUGCGGGUUGUAAAGCACUUUUAGUGGGGAUGAAAAGUUCAGGGCUAAUACCCCCUGGAUCUUGACCUAACCCACAGAAAAAGCACCGGCUAACUCUGUG
This 453-nucleotide ribosomal RNA is filed under the name uncultured bacterium. RNAcentral's name for it is "bacterial SSU rRNA". It matches the Rfam family "Bacterial small subunit ribosomal RNA", at positions 62 to 507 of the family's 1533-position model. The record is from RNAcentral.